AAAGGGAGACCUAAUUCAGGUAAAAGACGAAAAAAAAGUAGUCGCUACCAAGAAUCAAUCCCAAAAGGUCGGAGCGAGGCGAAAUUGGCUUUCAAACUAGGUUCUGGGUUCAAACAAGACCUGAAUCAGGAACAAGGGCUAUUAGCUCAGGUGGUUAGGGCGCACCCCUGAUAAGGGUGAGGUCCCUGGUUCGAGUCCAGGAUGGCCCACCUGCACAGGUGGCAAAAACAAGAGAAGCGAGGAAUCAGCACCUUAUCUUACUUAUAUAGUAAGAGAGAAUGCUGGCUCUGAGUAAAGAGUCCAGAGGAACCUUGAAAACUGCAUAGAGCUAGGUGAAAAAGCCAAAAAAGAAGACCGCAAG
This 361-nucleotide transfer RNA is filed under the name uncultured Microcystis sp. RNAcentral describes it as "partial 16S-23S ribosomal RNA intergenic spacer". The stretch from base 136 to 209 matches the Rfam family "tRNA". The record is from RNAcentral. Lineage: Bacteria; Bacillati; Cyanobacteriota; Cyanophyceae; Chroococcales; Microcystaceae.